This 253-nucleotide ribosomal RNA is filed under the name uncultured bacterium. RNAcentral's name for it is "partial 16S ribosomal RNA". It matches the Rfam family "Bacterial small subunit ribosomal RNA", at positions 524 to 776 of the family's 1533-position model. The record is from RNAcentral.
UACGUAGGGUCCGAGCGUUGUCCGGAGUUACUGGGCGUAAAGCGCGCGCAGGCGGCGGUGUUGGCCCGGCGUGAAAGCCCCCGGCUCAACCGGGGAGAGUCGUCGGGGACCGCACCGCUUGAGGGCGGUAGGGGCUGGUGGAAUGCCUGGUGUAGUGGUGAAAUGCGUAGAGAUCAGGCAGAACACCUGGGGCGAAGGCGGCAUCCUGGACUGGUCCUGACACUCAGGAGCGAAAGCGUGGGGAGCGAUCCGG